Molecule: ribosomal RNA, 376 nt
Filed under: uncultured organism
Description: partial 16S ribosomal RNA
Rfam family: Bacterial small subunit ribosomal RNA
Source: RNAcentral
GUAGGUGGCAAGCGUUGUCCGGGAAUUAUUGGGGCGUAAAGCGCGCGCAGGCGGUCCUUUAAGUCUGAUGUGAAAGCCCACGGGCUCAACCGUGGGAGGGUCAUUGGAAACUGGGGGACUUGAGUGCAGAAGAGAAGAGUGGAAUUCCACGUGUAGCGGUGAAAUGCGUAGAGAUGUGGAGGAACACCAGUGGCGAAGGCGACUCUUUGGUCUGUAACUGACGCUGAGGCGCGAAAGCGUGGGGAGCAAACAGGAUUAGAUACCCUGGUAGUCCACGCCGUAAACGAUGAGUGCUAAGUGUUAGAGGGUUUCCGCCCUUUAGUGCUGCAGCAAACGCAUUAAGCACUCCGCCUGGGGAGUACGGCCGCAAAGGCUG